UCCGUAGGUGAACCUGCGGAAGGAUCAUUACCGAGUGGCUUGGCGAUCCGAACCCAAAAGCGGUUCGGAGCAGCCGGUUACCCGACCUUUAUGUCAUCAGCACCGGCCUUUUGUUGAAGACGUCAUCUGGGCGACCGGAGACGAGGACGACGAGGACGGAAGGUAUAUUUCGGCGGAGGUGGUAGGAGCUGGUCGUUUGGGUGAAUCGUGGUCUCUCGGGACGGCGAUGGCUUGAACGCAGCUGGCCUGCCCGCCGCCGGCGGUAUUUCCCACUCUUUUUUUUGGAGGAAGCGUGAAGUCUGAAGCAACUUUUGUACGAAUGAAAAAGCAAAACUUUCAACAACGGAUCUCUUGGCUCUGGCAACGAUGAAGAACGCAGCGAAACGCGAAAGGUAAUGCGAAUUGCAGAAUCAGUGAGUCAUCGAAUCUUUGAACGCACAUUGCGCCUCUCGGUAUUCCGGGAGGCACGCCUGUUCGAGCGCCAUUACACACUCCAAGCUGCGGCUUGAUGUUGGGCGACGUGCUUGGGGAAACCCGAGGACGCGCCUGGAACGCGUGGGCGGCGGACGCCAGACCGCGAGCGUAGCAAGAUUUUUUUUUAUGAGAAAGUCACCCGCUCGGAUGGAUAUGGUGGACGACCAGUCUCUUCGGUAGGCUCUGAUGUGGAGCGUGUUGUGAAGUCAGCGCGCGACACGUGUGGGGCACGACGUUGUCAAGUUUGGCCUCGGAUCAGGCGGGGAUACCCGCUGAACUUAAGCAUAUCAAUAAGCGGAGGAAAAG
Molecule: ribosomal RNA, 780 nt
Filed under: Scolecobasidium sp. L1265
Lineage: Eukaryota; Fungi; Ascomycota; Dothideomycetes; Venturiales; Sympoventuriaceae
Description: eukaryotic LSU rRNA
Rfam family: 5.8S ribosomal RNA (bases 332-484)
Source: RNAcentral